Molecule: ribosomal RNA, 495 nt
Filed under: Kogia sima (dwarf sperm whale)
Lineage: Eukaryota; Metazoa; Chordata; Mammalia; Artiodactyla; Physeteridae
Description: partial large subunit ribosomal RNA
Rfam family: Bacterial large subunit ribosomal RNA
Source: RNAcentral
GCCUGCCCAGUGACCAAUCGUUAAACGGCCGCGGUAUCCUGACCGUGCAAAGGUAGCAUAAUCACUUGUUCUCUAAAUAAGGACUUGUAUGAAUGGCCACACGAGGGUUUUACUGUCUCUUACUUUUAAUCAGUGAAAUUGACCUCCCCGUGAAGAGGCGGGGAUAACGAAACAAGACGAGAAGACCCUAUGGAGCUUUAAUUAACCAACCCAAAAACCACAAUCUAAACCACCAAGGGAUAAAAAAGCUUUACAUGGGUUGGCAAUUUCGGUUGGGGUGACCUCGGAGCAUAAAAAACCCUCCGAGUGAUUAAAGCCUAGGCCUACCAGCCAAAGCACACUAUCACUUAUUGAUCCAAAAUAUUGAUCAACGGAACAAGUUACCCUAGGGAUAACAGCGCAAUCCUAUUCUAGAGUUCAUAUCGACAAUAGGGUUUACGACCUCGAUGUUGGAUCAGGACAUCCUAAUGGUGCAGCCGCUAUUAAGGGUUCGUU